RNAcentral lists this transfer RNA (71 nucleotides) under Huperzia crispata. RNAcentral describes it as "tRNA-Gly". It matches the Rfam family "tRNA". Rfam says of the family: Transfer RNA (tRNA) molecules are approximately 80 nucleotides in length. Their secondary structure includes four short double-helical elements and three loops (D, anti-codon, and T loops). The record is from RNAcentral. Lineage: Eukaryota; Viridiplantae; Streptophyta; Lycopodiopsida; Lycopodiales; Lycopodiaceae.
GCGGAUAUAUAUUAAGGGUAAAUUAUCUGCCUUCCAAGCAGAGGAUAUGGGUUCGAUUCCCGUUAUCCGCA